UUAUAUCUUCAGGGCAGGGUGAAAUUCCCGAUCGGCGGUACAGUCCGCGAACGCCAUGCGUAGAUUCGGUGCAACUCCGAAACCGACAGUAUAGUCUGGAUGAGAGAAGAUAGAG
Molecule: regulatory RNA element, 115 nt
Rfam family: FMN riboswitch aptamer (RFN element)
About the family: The RFN element is a highly conserved domain that is found frequently in the 5'-untranslated regions of prokaryotic mRNAs that encode for flavin mononucleotide (FMN) biosynthesis and transport proteins. This element is a metabolite-dependent riboswitch that directly binds FMN in the absence of proteins.
Source: Rfam